AACCUGGUUGAUCCUGCCAGUAGUCAUAUGCUUGUCUCAAAGAUUAAGCCAUGCAUGUCUAAGUAUAAAAGUAUUCUAUACUUGAAACUGCGAAUAGCUCAUUAAAUCAGUUAUAGUUUAUUUGAUGGUGCCUUACUACAUGGAUACCCGUAGUAAUUCUAGAGCUAAUACAUGCCAAAAAAACCCAACCGCAAGGGCGGGUUGUAUUUAUUAGAUAAAAACCAUUACUCGCAAGAGUUUUUGUGGUGAUUCAUAAUAACUGUUCGAAUCGCAUGCCGCAAGGCGGCGAUAGAUCAUUCAAAUUUCUGCCCUAUCAGCUCUCGACGGUAGUGUAGUGGACUACCGUGGCAUUAACGGGUAACGGAGAAUUAGGGUUCGAUUCCGGAGAGGGAGCCUGAGAAACGGCUACCACAUCCAAGGAAGGCAGCAGGCGCGCAAAUUACCCAAUCCUGAUACAGGGAGGUAGUGACAAAAAAUAACAAUACCGGGCAUUUUAUGUCUGGUAAUUGGAAUGAGUACAAUUUAAAUCCCUUAACGAGGAUCAAUUGGAGGGCAAGUCUGGUGCCAGCAGCCGCGGUAAUUCCAGCUCCAAUAGCGUAUAUUAAAGUUGUUGCAGUUAAAAAGCUCGUAGUUGGAUUUCUGGUAUGGUGCGCCUGGCCCACGGUUGCAAAACCGCGAGUGUCGGUGUGCGCCUGCCAUCUUUCUAGUUAACUGGACGCACUUAACUGGGCGGUCAGCGAUCUAGAUCUUUUACUUUGAAAAAAUUAGAGUGUUUAAAGCAGGCUUGCGCUAUGAAUACAUUAGCAUGGAAUAAUAAUUUAGGACUUUAUUCCUAUUUAUUGGUUUCUGGAGUAGAGUAAUGAUUGAUAGGGAUAGUUGGGGGUGCUAGUAUUCAUCGGCCAGAGGUGAAAUUCUUGGAUUCGAUGAAGACUAACUAAUGCGAAAGCAUUCACCAAGGAUGUCUUCUUUAAUCAAGAACGAAAGUUGGGGGAUCGAAGACGAUCAGAUACCGUCGUAGUCUCAACCAUAAACUAUACCGACUAGGGAUUAGUGGAAGUUGCUUUUUCGACUCCAUUAGCACCUGAUGAGAAAUCGAAGUCUUUGGGUUCUGGGGGGAGUAUGGUCGCAAGGCUGAAACUUAAAGGAAUUGACGGAAGGGCACCACCAGGAGUGGAGCCUGCGGCUUAAUUUGACUCAACACGGGGAAACUUACCAGGUCCGGACAUAGUGAGGAUUGACAGAUUGAAGUUCUUUCUUGAUUCUAUGGGUGGUGGUGCAUGGCCGUUCUUAGUUGGUGGAGCGAUCUGUCUGGUUAACUGUAACGGUUUUGGCCAGAGAUAGGGAGGUAGCUUCGUGCUAUUAUGCUCUCUAGUCGUAAGUCUUAUGUACUAUUUACGGUAGCUACAACAGAGGGAAACUCUCUGUCGGCUUCGGCAACACACCUGGUUCAGGGGAGGCUUUGCUAUGCAGAGUUAAUCCUGAGGCGAGAUAGCUCCUUGUUGGACUAUCCGUUGCAACGCGUGCUAAGGUGUGCGUCUUGUCUUGUGGUGCCGGUUUUCGAAUUCAGAUGUCGAAGCGGAAACGCGAGGUUUUCGAGUCACAAGCACGCUGCUGCAGCCGCAGCGAGUGCGAGUGAUGAGAAAAAAGGACGGGUAGACCAGCGGGUUCUAAGGCUAAGCCGGUCAUUGAUCGACUUUUGGCUGAAGAUCCGCUGGCCUGUGUUAAGCUCUGGGAAAAGUGUGGUGACAAGAAGACAUUAGUCCAAGUUGCCUCCUCCUUACAAUGGUAACGAGUUUGCCUGUUGGCGGUUUACUCCGCCAAAAGGUCUCGGGGCCAGUGUAAUCAGAGCAAGGGUUAUGGUGAAAUCUCUCCUUGGGGAAGGGAAAAUACGCGCAUGUAUAUGCAUGUGUUAUCUCACUUUAUCCAUACGGGAGAAAAGCCUGUGCCGAAAGAUCCGAAAACAGGAUAUUUCGCAUCGGUGUCAUCGCAAAUACUGCUUCAACCCAGCACAUUUGGUGCGCGAAACUGUCGACGUCAACGGGUCGCGGGACUACUGCCACGGGGCAGUACAGUUGGGUGGUGUGUUACACAAUUUGUGUCCACAUUCUCCAGCAUGUCUGCGUCCGGGCGUCGAAGUUCAGAACUUUGUUAUCGCACCAAUUACUCCUGCGGAGUUGCGCACUGUCCAAACCGGACUCGCAGCUUCCAAAGAGAAGAAACCAAUGGCAGCGGCAGCGGCAGCAGCAGCAGCCGAUGACACUUGACAUUCUAUCUCUCUCUCUCUCGUUUCGCUUAGAUUUUCUUCAGGUAUGUAUAAUUCGAACUCUAUGAUCAUACACAAGCGGGCGUAAGGUACAUGCUGACCCUUUCGAUCACACGAAAGUGUGAGAGUUUGCUGAGUAACUGAACUCCGUAAGAGAUAAGUGCUCGGGUCUGGGAGACCAGAUGGAUGGAAUCGUAAUUCCGUUAACGAACGAGACCUGCGACCUGCUAAAUAGUACAACGUAACCCUUGGUUAUGUGUGCACUUCUUAGAGGGACUGUCGGUUCUUAGCCGAAGAAGUUCGAGGCAAUAACAGGUCUGUGAUGCCCUUAGAUGUUGUGGGCCGCACGCGCGCUACACUGAUACGUUCAUCGAGCUUACACCUCGUCGGGAGGCCUGGGUAUCUUUUCAAAGCGUAUCGUGCUGGGGAUAGAUUAUUGUAAUUAUUAAUCUUCAACGAGGAAUUCCUAGUAAGCGCGAGUCAUCAACUCGCACUGAUUACGUCCCUGCCCUUUGUACACACCGCCCGUCGCUGCUACCGAUUGAAUGCAUUAGUGAGUCUUGGGGAUCGUUUCUCUUGAGGGUAAAACUUCGGGUUAGAUGAGAACCAAUACAAACUUGCGCAUUUAGAGGAAGCAAAAGUCGUAACAAGGUUUCCGUAGGUGAACCUGCAGAAGGAUC
This 2943-nucleotide ribosomal RNA is filed under the name Cercomonas sp. SmallSA. RNAcentral's name for it is "SSU rRNA". It matches the Rfam family "Eukaryotic small subunit ribosomal RNA". Lineage: Eukaryota; Cercozoa; Cercomonadida; Cercomonadidae. The record is from RNAcentral.